RNAcentral lists this ribosomal RNA (460 nucleotides) under uncultured bacterium. Its description in RNAcentral is "partial 16S ribosomal RNA". It matches the Rfam family "Bacterial small subunit ribosomal RNA", at positions 338 to 795 of the family's 1533-position model. The record is from RNAcentral.
CCUACGGGUGGCUGCAGUGAGGAAUAUUGGUCAAUGGGCGCGAGCCUGAACCAGCCAAGUAGCGUGAAGGAUGACUGCCCUACGGGUUGUAAACUUCUUUUAUAAAGGAAUAAAGUGAGGCACGUGUGCCUUUUUGUAUGUACUUUAUGAAUAAGGAUCGGCUAACUCCGUGCCAGCAGCCGCGGUAAUACGGAGGAUCCGAGCGUUAUCCGGAUUUAUUGGGUUUAAAGGGAGCGUAGAUGGGUUGGUAAGUCAGUUGUGAAAGUUUGCGGCUCAACCGUAAAAUUGCAAUUGAUACUGGCAGCCUUGAGUACAGUUGAGGUAGGCGGAAUUCGAGGUGUAGCGGUAAAAUGCUUAGAUAUCACGAAGAACUCCGGUUGCGAAGGCAGCUUACUAGACUGCCACUGACAUUGAUGCUCGAAAGUGUGGGUAUCAAACAGGAUUAGAUACCCCAGUAGUC